Molecule: ribosomal RNA, 492 nt
Filed under: uncultured bacterium
Lineage: Bacteria
Description: partial 16S ribosomal RNA
Rfam family: Bacterial small subunit ribosomal RNA
Source: RNAcentral
AGUGAACGCUGGCGGUAGGCCUAACACAUGCAAGUCGAACGGCAGCACAGUAAGAGCUUGCUCUUACGGGUGGCGAGUGGCGGACGGGUGAGGAAUACAUCGGAAUCUACUUUUUCGUGGGGGAUAACGUAGGGAAACUUACGCUAAUACCGCAUACGACCUACGGGUGAAAGCAGGGGAUCUUCGGACCUUGCGCGAUUGAAUGAGCCGAUGUCGGAUUAGCUAGUUGGCGGGGUAAAGGCCCACCAAGGCGACGAUCCGUAGCUGGUCUGAGAGGAUGAUCAGGCACACUGGAACUGAGACAAGGUCCCAACUCCUACGGGAAGCAGCAGUGGGGAAUAUUUGACAAUUGGGGGAAACCUUAUCCAGGCAUACCGCGUUGGUUGAAGAAGGCUUUGGGUUGGAAAACCCCUUUGGUUGGAAAGGAAAGCAGGCAGGUAAAACCCCGCUGUUCUGACGGUACCCAAAGAAUAAGCACCGGCUAACUUCGUG